Vespa mandarinia (Asian giant hornet) is the source of this 329-nucleotide long non-coding RNA. NCBI's taxonomy places the organism in Eukaryota, Metazoa, Arthropoda, Insecta, Hymenoptera, Vespidae. The record is from RefSeq and is a predicted model, not a curated record.
GAAUAGUUUAUUGACGGCUUCGGCGUUGGUUAGAUGUGUGUUUACUUCGUACGAGAUCCCUUUUUAUCGUCGACGUAUUUCGCAUUUUCAUUGCGGCAAGCAGGAAACGUAGCGCGGCGCGGCGCGGUGAGGCGCCUCCUUCGUUCGCUCGAUUCGCUCGUUGUAGGCUCGCUGCUAUCACCGCUCACCACCGGUAUUCUCUUCGGACGGUUCUACUGCCGCCUGCUAAAGUAAAAUAGGAAAAGAACGAGAAAACAAAAAGAAGAAGAAGGCGAAGAAGAAGAAGGAGAAGAAGAAAAGAGAGAGAGAGAGAGAGAGAGAGAGAGAGA